Molecule: ribosomal RNA, 1301 nt
Filed under: metagenome
Description: bacterial LSU rRNA
Rfam family: Bacterial large subunit ribosomal RNA
Source: RNAcentral
ACACGACCGUACCGCAAACCGACACUGGUGCGCGAGAUGAGUAUUCUAAGGCGCUUGAGAGAACUCAGGAGAAGGAACUCGGCAAAUUGACACCGUAACUUCGGAAGAAGGUGUGCCUUUAGUAGGUGAAGUCCCUCGCGGAUGGAGCCCAAUGAGGUUGCAAAGAAUCGGUGGCUGCGACUGUUUAUUAAAAACACAGCACUCUGCAAACACGAAAGUGGACGUAUAGGGUGUGACGCCUGCCCGGUGCUGGAAGAUUAAAUGAUGGGGUGCAAGCUCUUGAUUGAAGUCCCAGUAAACGGCGGCCGUAACGAUAACGGUCCUAAGGUAGCGAAAUUCCUUGUCGGGUAAGUUCCGACCUGCACGAAUGGCGUAACGAUGGCCACACUGUCUCCUCCUGAGACUCAGCGAAGUUGAAAUGUUUGUGAUGAUGCAAUCUCCCCGCGGAAAGACGGAAAGACCCCAUGAACCUUUACUGUAGCUUUGUAUUGGACUUUGAACAGAUCUGUGUAGGAUAGGUGGGAGGCUUUGAAGCAGGGUCGCUAGAUCUUGUGGAGCCAACGUUGAAAUACCACCCUGGUGUGUUUGAGGUUCUAACCUAGGCCCGUAAUCCGGGUUGGGGACAGUGCAUGGUAGGCAGUUUGACUGGGGCGGUCUCCUCCCAAAGUGUAACGGAGGAGUUCGAAGGUACGCUAGUUACGGUCGGACAUCGUGACGAUAGUGCAAUGGCAUAAGCGUGCUUAACUGCGAGACUGACAAGUCGAGCAGAUGCGAAAGCAGGACAUAGUGAUCCGGUGGUUCUGUAUGGAAGGGCCAUCGCUCAACGGAUAAAAGGUACUCUGGGGAUAACAGGCUGAUACCGCCCAAGAGUUCAUAUCGACGGCGGUGUUUGGCACCUCGAUGUCGGCUCAUCUCAUCCUGGGGCUGUAGCCGGUCCCAAGGGUAUGGCUGUUCGCCAUUUAAAGAGGUACGUGAGCUGGGUUUAAAACGUCGUGAGACAGUUUGGUCCCUAUCUUCCGUGGGCGCUGCAGAUUUGAGGAAGCCUGCUCCUAGUACGAGAGGACCGGAGUGGACGCACCUCUGGUGUAUCGGUUGUCACGCCAGUGGCAUUGCCGAGUAGCUAUGUGCGGAAGAGAUAACCGCUGAAAGCAUCUAAGCGGGAAACUCGUUUCAAGAUGAGAUCUGCCGGGGCCUUGAGCCCCCUGAAGAGUCGUUCAAGACCAGGACGUUGAUAGGUCGGGUGUGGAAGCGCAGUAAUGCGUUAAGCUAACCGAUACUAAUUGCUCGUGCGGCUUGACCCU